UAAAAUUUUAAAUUAUAAUAUUGAAGUAGUAUUAGUUUAAGUUCUUGAAAUUUAAAAAAUUUGGCGGUAUUUUAGUCUAUUCAGAGGAACCUGUUUUGUAAUCGAUAGUCCACGAUGAACCUUACUUGAAUUUGUAAUAUAGUUUAUAUAUCGUUGUUUAUUGAAUAUUUUAUAAAAAUAAAAAUUUUCAUAUUUUUAAAAAUGAAGUUAUUUCAAAUCAAGAUGUAGCUUAUAUUUAAGUUUAUAAUGGGUUACAAUUAAAUUAUUAUUGAAUUUAUAAUUUAAAUUAAUUAUUUUGAAAAUGGAUUUGAUAGUAAAUAUAUAUAGA
RNAcentral lists this ribosomal RNA (328 nucleotides) under Collinias vitiensis. RNAcentral describes it as "partial 12S ribosomal RNA". The record is from RNAcentral. Lineage: Eukaryota; Metazoa; Arthropoda; Insecta; Diptera; Pipunculidae.